GACGAACGCUGGCGGCGUGCCUAAUACAUGCAAGUUGAGCGCUGAAGGUUGGUACUUGUACCAACUGGAUGAGCAGCGAACGGGUGAGUAACGCGUGGGGAAUCUGCCUUUGAGCGGGGGACAACAUUUGGAAACGAGUGCUAAUACCGCAUAAAAACUUUAAACACAAGUUUUAAGUUUGAAAGAUGCAAUUGCACCACUCAAAGAUGAUCCCGCGUUGUAUUAGCUAGUUGGUGAGGUAAAGGCUCACCAAGGCGAUGAUACAUAGCCGACCUGAGAGGGUGAUCGGCCACAUUGGGACUGAGACACGGCCCAAACUCCUACGGGAGGCAGCAGUAGGGAAUCUUCGGCAAUGGACGAAAGUCUGACCGAGCAACGCCGCGUGAGUGAAGAAGGUUUUCGGAUCGUAAAACUCUGUUGGUAGAGAAGAACGUUGGUGAGAGUGGAAAGCUCAUCAAGUGACGGUAACUACCCAGAAAGGGACGGCUAACUACGUG
This 497-nucleotide ribosomal RNA is filed under the name uncultured bacterium. Its description in RNAcentral is "partial 16S ribosomal RNA". It matches the Rfam family "Bacterial small subunit ribosomal RNA", at positions 28 to 507 of the family's 1533-position model. The record is from RNAcentral.